This is a non-coding RNA of Camellia sinensis, 2669 nucleotides long. The record is from RefSeq and is a predicted model, not a curated record. Lineage: Eukaryota; Viridiplantae; Streptophyta; Magnoliopsida; Ericales; Theaceae.
GGAAAAAGACCAUUUGAUGUUCUAAAUGAGGUCAAUUCUAGAAGGGGCAAUGUCAAAGUGAAGUAGGAAUUAGUCCUGGACCAUUAACGGGAAGAGUGAUUUGUGCAUCUAAACCAUGUAGUCAAUAAAAGAAACAGAGCUUCCAUACAAAAUGGAGCCAGUUCCUUUGGUGUCCUAAUCAAAAUGAGAUUUAUACAUGUUUUUACUUUGAUAUGCAGAAAGCUACCCUAUUGCACACAUCUGUGCCCAGAGAUAUGUCAUCCUGGUCAAUGCCCAGCACCUGAGAAGUGCUCUAAAAAGGUUACUGUUCGUUGUGGAUGCCAAACCCUGAAAAAGGAGUGGUUGUGUCAUGAUGUUCAAGCAGCCUAUCGCAGUGCCAGAAGUGAUCUGAAAGAUAUAUCUAAAAAUCAAUAUGGACUUGGACUACUUCCGUGCAAUUCAGGUUGCAGGAGUAAGGUAAAGGUUGCAGACACAGAAUUGCAACACCGCAAAUCUACAGUUUUAAAGGUAAUCCUUAUAUCUUCAAGUGAAACAUGCCUCAUCAUUUAUUUUGGGAGCAUCAGAUGAUACGCGUGGGCUAGUGGUGAAGGUUUUGAACAUGGGAGCUUUACUAUGGGGUAAUUCCUAGAGGUCUCAUGUUUGACUCUCACUGGGUGCAAAAACACUCCGGCUUAAGCAAUACACACAGGCUGGUUGGAGUUCUCCAUCAUAUAAAAAAAAAAUCAGAUUAGAAUUCUCUAAAAAGGAAGCCCCUCUGUUCUGCAUUCGUUUGUGCUUUUGGUACAAAAUUGGAUUGAGUCUUUAUUUAGCUAGUGUCAACAACAUAAAAUAAUUUGAUAAGUAGCAAAUCAACUAUCAAGACUUCUGAAUCGCAGUAUUGUUCAUCUUUACUAGAAAGUACAACCAUUUACUAUUUUUUUCUGUUGAUUUGUCAUUUUUCUAUUUAACUAUUUGGGUGUUUGAAUACCUACUGAAAUUUGAAUAUUUUUCAAGUAUCUUAGUUGGUCAUGUAAUAUAGAAUGAUCAGUAAAAGCAGUGGACUUACAACUGAAAUGAAAUGUGUUGAAAUUGAAAUCAUGAAAUUAUCUAUUUUAAGGCUCUGUUUGGGUGAGUGGGUUUGAAAUGAAGGGAUUUGAGGUAAAAUUUUGUGAAAUUCUAGGAAACUGGAGACAUGUUUUGAUAAUUUUGAAGUGAAUGAUUGAAUAAAGAUAAGAGAUACACGUUAAAAUCUUUACAUAAGUAGAAUUAUUCACGAGAGGAUUUCAAAUAACUAUAUUCACCAACUUAUUUCAAAUUCAUCAAUCUAAAGCUCUCAAAUCCAUUAUUGGAAUCUAGAUUAACAAUAUUCUAAUAAAAAGGCUACACUUCUUCAAUGAGUGAUGCCAAAUCCAUUCAAUUGAAUUCCGUAGAUCUAAAUCCAACCUAAAAUUGUUGGGAAGGAGAACUAUGCAGAUUUAAAUAAUUUGUAUUAUGAAUAGGCUCACAACAAAUAUGAUGGGGGAAAAAAAAAAAAGGUCCACUUUCUUGAAUUUCCAAGGCUUCUUGUAUUAAUUGUGGCAAUAACAUUCUUGUAGCCUACUUCUUCAUUGGUUGAAUAAGUUCAAACCCUCUCUAAUGAGGACCCCUGGAUACUGACAAGAUUAGUUCCAUGGAACUGCCUUAAAUAUGCCAUUGCCAAUAGACAAGAAGAAAGAAGGUUUUACAGUUAGUGUAGCUGGUGAAGUGUCUUAGUAAUAACAAAAUUCAUUUUACCUCCCUUGAAAUUUAACCCUGGAGCAUUUUAUACCAUUACUAUUCAAAAAAUAGCUAAAGAGACCUCAUGUGGUUUUGGAUUAAAUACAAUAACUCCAUUAACAGCGGGUGAAAAAUGACUAUAAACCCGGCUACUAUGUUCUCUUUAUCUCUCUUUUGUUAUACACAUAAUGUUUUAUUUAAUCGCAUAUUAUCUAAUUAAAGUAAAUACUCCUAUUUUUAUAAUCUAAUUGUAAUUUUUAACUUAAUUUUUUAUUUAAUCACAUUUUUAAUUGUACAUACAUAUAGUGUAUAUAUAUAUAAUAACUGUACGACUGUCUUUCUCCUUCAAUGUUUGUCGACCAUCACUAUUAUAUCUAUCCCGUCACCAGCUUCAACAACCCAUAAUUCAUCCAUGAGGCAAAAGGACACAUACCAUGGACGAAAAUAUAUAAGUACAAUUUAUGUAUAUAAUAUAUAUACAGUGGAGGGGAUAUGCACAUCCAAAACAUGUAAUGCCCCAGUUUUCAAAAGAUUAGUUAGGUGAAAACUAAAUAACCUAAGCUUAAUCUCUUAAUAAAAACUCCACUUUCAAACCAUCUCAAACAUUCUCAAAGCUCAUUCCUUUACCAUUUCCCAUUAAUUUACAAAAUGCUCAAUUUACCUUGUAGAACAUGACCAAAGUCCAAUUACUUAUGUUUCAAAAUAGAUUCUGUUUUUGUUAUAACUACCUGGAGCACCAAAGUACAAGAAAAGAUGUAGGUUGUAACUAGGAAAAGAAUUUUCAUUGGGAAUGUGACUGCUUGAUGGUUUUUGCAAAAAUAGUUGGUUUAUUAAAUAGUUGCUUCUAGAGUUAAUUACCUAAAAGUCCUAUUUACAAAUGUUAUGGUAGCUCAGGUCCUAUUAAAGAUUUUCUGAACCAAUAAGUUCUAUUUAGU